AGCUCCAAUAGCGUAUAUUUAAGUUGUUGCAGUUAAAAAGCUCGUAGUUGGAUUUUGGGUCGGGGGUACCGGUCCGGUGUUUCACUGUGCACUGGUCUCCCCUUCCUUUCUGCCGGGGACGGCGUUUGCUCUUUACUGAGCGGCGUCGGAGUCGGCGUUGUUACUUUGAAAAAAUUAGAGUGUUCAAAGCAAGCCAUCGCUCUGAAUACAUUAGCAUGGAAUAACAUGAUAGGACUCUGGUCUUAUUUUGUUGGUUUCCGAGACUGGAGUAAUGAUUAAGAGGGACAGUCGGGGGCAUCCGUAUUUCAUUGUCAGAGGUGAAAUUCUUGGAUUUAUGAAAGACGAACUUCUGCGAAAGCAUUUGCCAAGGAUGUUUUCA
RNAcentral lists this ribosomal RNA (379 nucleotides) under uncultured eukaryote. RNAcentral describes it as "SSU rRNA". It matches the Rfam family "Eukaryotic small subunit ribosomal RNA", at positions 587 to 972 of the family's 1831-position model. The record is from RNAcentral.